CCCGCGGUAGCUCAAUUUGGCAGAGCAUCUGACUGUAGAUCAGAGGGUUGCCAGUUCAAAUCUGGCCCGCGGGA
Molecule: transfer RNA, 74 nt
Filed under: Microcaldota archaeon
Lineage: Archaea; Nanobdellati; Microcaldota
Description: tRNA-Tyr
Rfam family: tRNA
About the family: Transfer RNA (tRNA) molecules are approximately 80 nucleotides in length. Their secondary structure includes four short double-helical elements and three loops (D, anti-codon, and T loops). Further hydrogen bonds mediate the characteristic L-shaped molecular structure. tRNAs have two regions of fundamental functional importance: the anti-codon, which is responsible for specific mRNA codon recognition, and the 3' end, to which the tRNAs corresponding amino acid is attached (by aminoacyl-tRNA synthetases). tRNAs cope with the degeneracy of the genetic code in two manners: having more than one tRNA (with a specific anti-codon) for a particular amino acid; and 'wobble' base-pairing, i.e. permitting non-standard base-pairing at the 3rd anti-codon position.
Source: RNAcentral